Molecule: long non-coding RNA, 732 nt
Filed under: Populus tremula
Lineage: Eukaryota; Viridiplantae; Streptophyta; Magnoliopsida; Malpighiales; Salicaceae
Description: long non-coding RNA (PTRE_LNC000512)
Source: RNAcentral
AGUGUUAUAAUUUAGGGAUUCAAUUGAAAUUAAUCCAAAUGGCAAAUUAAAAGGAAUUUUAAAUUAAUUGAGAUCUAACUGUUAAAUUUACAAAGACCAGGGGUCAAAAUGAAAAUGUCUAUUUCUGCCGAAACAUCGUCGUUGCUGUUGGAACAGCCGAGUGGUCUUCUUCAUACCGAUUCAACUGGGAACCUGAAAAUCUGCAACAAAUCCAAUCAUGGACCAUGUCUCUUGCCCACGAUCUCGUUCAUGGAUUACAUAACAGUCCUGCAAAGGCAGGACUGUUUGAAGGGCAAGCUGUAGGAUCUCUAUAAAAGAGAAGAAAAAACCCAGAAAAGGGGACUGAAAAUCAGAGCAAAGAAUAGAGAAAAAAGCAGAGAAAAACAGAGCAUAAACCCAGAAAAAAAAAAUACACAGAGAGAAGGAGAGAAUAUGAGAGUAGCAGAUACAGAGAGGAGAAUUAUCCUUGCAAUUGUCUUAGUCCCUGCAGAAAAAGAGCAACCCGGAAUAAGUAAAAAAUUCAGAGAAAACAGACAUACCCAUUACCUUCUCAGCUCCUUCAUCUCAAGAACUGAGAAAUCAAAAGAAGGGAAGACAGCGGGCACAACGGGGAGAGAGAGGAAAGCAGUCGAACGAAAGUAGCCACCAGUGUUGCAGCCUUCUUUGCCAUCUCCAGAAACAGGUGCGCCCAUUCCCUUUCAUUUGCUGUGAUUCAAUAACAUUUGAUCAGUG